Long non-coding RNA from Magallana angulata, 2838 nucleotides. RefSeq lists it as uncharacterized. NCBI's taxonomy places the organism in Eukaryota, Metazoa, Mollusca, Bivalvia, Ostreida, Ostreidae. The transcript is spliced from 3 exons. The record is from RefSeq and is a predicted model, not a curated record.
CCGUCCGAUUUUGUUGAAACUGUUAUCUGCAGUAUAUUAUGUAACAUAAGAAUUUUAUUUCACAGUUGAUUCGGAAGAUCUUGCUGAUCGAAACACUCCAUGCCAAGCUCAAUUCAAAUCUUUAUAGCAACCUGGAUUCCAAGUGCAAAUCCACAUGCAUACGAAAGGAAUCUACAGUAAUCAGGCUUUUUUCAAAGAACCAACCUGUAAGAAGUCUGCUUCCUAAUGGAGAAGUGGGACAGGUCUGGCAUUGCGUGCUCUUCGUCCUCCGAAUCUGAUGGAAUGCUUGCGCACUCCGCCAUUUUUCCUCACCAUUUGGCUCUACAUGGAUGUUUCAGUUUUCAGCACCCUGCAGUAAUAUGAAACAGGUAAUUGAAAUGCACUGAUGCAACAAUGCCAAUUCUUCUAAAAUAGACAGAGCUGCGUUUUUUUCUAUGAAGUAACAAAAGAACUACUUUCAGUGCUGCACUGAUCUCCUCAGACGAAACAUUCAACGAAUUCUCUCUCUAUGACAGAAAGCGAUUGUGGAUUGUAUAGAUUCCUUAUAUAAGAUCUUCAAACUUAAAGAAGAAAAAAAACAGGAAAUUUCAAAUUGCCGAUGUUUUCCCGAAAAAACAAUACCUAUUUCAUUAAUCUCUUAAAAAUAUACAAAGAGGCAGUAAAGUGCGGCAAAUUUUCCUUGAAUAUUGAAACGCUUUCUCCUCUUCUUAAUGCACGACUAUACAAUGUAACCUGCAUCAACAUGUAACUGUCAGCAAUGCAUUCAGAUAACACAAGCACCAAAUUCUUCUCUUUUGAAUGCAAGUACAUCAAAGCUAUUACCAAUCCUUGCUGUAUUGUGAGGAAUUACAUCAUUCUCUGACAAAACAAACCUAUACAGUCAAACUUCGUUAUCUCGAACAAGAUGGGACUGUUUAAAAAGUUCAAGAAAUCCAAGUAUUCAAGAUAUCAAGGGUAAAAUAGUUACAAAUAAGUGGUUAGGACUUACAAAUCACUUCGACAUAUCCGUUGUAUUCGAGAUAUCGGUGUUGAAAUAUCGAAGUUCAACUGUAUUUAUAAUCUAAGAAAGAUUAUAAAAUAUGAGGCCUAAGAAAAAAAAUUGUUUGUUUCCGCUUUCCUGACGUACCCUAGCUUUUACCCCCCGACUCAAAGCUUUUUUAAAGGAUUUUAUAUGGAAAAUCGUUUAUUUUCGUUUUUAUCCAAUUUGGAGAAAAAAAUUACUCAAAAUUUUGGUCACAAAAACGCUUGAAGCAGUUACUCUUCUCAAAUCAGUGUAACUCAAACGUUUUGUUUCAAAAUGGCUGUAUGUUUCCAUGUGUUGUGGAAUUUAAUAAUGCAUUCUCUCAUCGUUGGCAGAGGAUUAGUAUCUGAUAUAUAAUAUCAUUAUUGUGUUUUCUUAAGACCAGCUUAAUAGUCAGGAAUGAUAUUAAAAGUAUUUCUCAUUUUAUAUCAUUCAGCAGUGUCAGUAUCUAACCGGCAUGUAUGGAUACUGCAAUAUUAAAGGAAAAAAAAAUAUUUGAAAAAAUAAAAAAAAAUUCCGAACGACCGACCCUAAUUUUUUGAAGCAUGAAAGUGGAAACAAACUAUUUUUUUUGCUGAUGGUUGUAGUGAAUAUUCACACCAAAAUUAAUAAUCAUUGUUCAACAGUGUGGGACCAACUCUACAAAUCAAUACUAUUCAAAUACAGCAUUGAUUUGGUCGAAAAAUUACACGACAAUUUUAACAUUAACAACAUCCAAUCAAGGCAACCAGUUGCUUAGGACUCCAGUUCAUAAAUGCCAUGAAGUCAAGCUAGUGCUAAAUCAAACCUUUCCGCAUAAUGCUCAAACCAUCAUUCAUCAUCCAAAUUUUUUUUCCAGUCAGUGAUAAUCUAAAUAUAUUACAGAUUAACUAGACUUCACUGGAUUUGUAACUGUCCCAUUAUACUGUUUUAUAUUGUAUAUGUACUAUCAUUUAAAGGUCAUUCUUUUAAGACUAAUCAGUGUAAUUACACUUGAUUUUGAAUAUAGGAUUAAAAUUUGAAUUGCUUAACAAAUAAAAUGUAGCAAAUAAUUUCACUUUUUAUUUCAGGUAAAUUGUAAACUUUGUCUUUUUUUAAAUACAAUUAAUUAGUUAGUAUCUACUUACACAACUUGCAUAUAUAUAAGUAAUUAGUCUGGAUUACAACUCAAAAGUACUUUUAUUUGUGAAUUUGAUUAAUUUAUUAGUUGGUACCAAAUAUAAAUGUUUUAUAUUACCGUAAUUAGUUUACUGUUGAUUGGCAAAUAAUCACAGUUCAAAUUUCACUAUGUUCGUGAUUUAUCGUUUUUCAGUUAAAUUAACCAACUGUAAAUAUUAACAUCAGUUUUUUAUUAAUAGUAAUUAAAGAAUUAAAUACUAAAAAAUUUAUUUACAAACAAUCUGGUUUGGAUAAAGACAAAUGUUAGUAUAAUGGCUAUGAAAAGAUCGAAACAAAGUAUUUACAUGUACUUUUUCUUCUCUGUUGUGAAAAUAAAAUAUCUGACAAGAGAUCCCUAAAAACUUUAAUUUGAUUCUUUUAACUUCAAAAUUAAAUCUGACUUACCAUAUAUAUAGUCAAGAGAAACAAAAGAAAUUAUUAAUAUAUUAUAAUUUACAAUUGAUUGUGAACUUUCGUUAUCAAUAGUCAAGUACACAAUUAUAUGCAACACUUAGACAAAAUUAUUCUUUAUUUUUAUUUUCAUUUUAAUUUGUUUUUUUUUAAACUAAUAUAUAGCUAACUAAAUGAAAACUAAAAUUCACAGACCAAUUGUACACACAUUGUAAAAUCUAUAUUAUUUUUAUCAUCACGCACGAAACCAAGGAUUUUGCUCAACUCUU